CCAGACUCCUACGGGAGGCAGCAGUGGGGAAUAUUGCACAAUGGGGGGAACCCUGAUGCAGCGACGCCGCGUGAGUGAAGAAGUAUUUCGGUAUGUAAAGCUCUGUCAGCAGGGAAGAAGAAAGACGGUACCUGACCAAGAAGCCCCGGCUAACUACGUGCCAGCAGCCGCGGUAAUAUGUAGGGGGCAAGCGUUAUCCGGAUUUACUGGGUGUAAAGGGAGCGUAGACGGCAUGGCAAGUCAGAUGUGAAAGCCCGGGGCUCAACCCCGGGACUGCAUUUGAAACUGUCAGGCUGGAGUGCAGGAGAGGUAAGUGGAAUUCCUAGUGUAGCGGUGAAAUGCGUAGAUAUUAGGAGGAACACCAGUGGCGAAGGCGGCUUACUGGACUGUAACUGACGCUGAGGAGCGAAAGCGUGGGUAGCAAACAGGAUUAGAUACCCUAGUAAA
This 447-nucleotide ribosomal RNA is filed under the name uncultured bacterium. RNAcentral describes it as "bacterial SSU rRNA". It matches the Rfam family "Bacterial small subunit ribosomal RNA", at positions 331 to 794 of the family's 1533-position model. The record is from RNAcentral.